RNAcentral lists this long non-coding RNA (4692 nucleotides) under Sus scrofa (pig). RNAcentral describes it as "lncRNA (ENSSSCG00065066947.1)". The record is from RNAcentral. Lineage: Eukaryota; Metazoa; Chordata; Mammalia; Artiodactyla; Suidae.
CAUCUAACAACUUUCAAUAUCCUGAAUUCAUUUCUUUUGGUCAUCUAUUUCCACAUAUAAUUCUGAAAUGCAGUGAAUUUUCCCUAGACCUUUAACUUUGGAAACUUGAUUUUAUGAGUUGGCCUGAAGACCAUAUGUUCUAGAAAUGAUAACUGGUCUACAUGUUAAGAUUACACGACAUCAUCAGAUAAAUUUGUAAGCCAACCAAUACAGAUGUUUAUAGCUCUAUGUGGAUAUUUUAAUAAAAUGGAAAACCUUGAUUAAGUUUAUCUUGAGUUAUACAUAACUUAUACUAAGGUUGUCUUGAUUAUAAGAACAGAAUAAAAAUUUAUGAAGUAUGCUUUAAAAGCAUACACAAUUUCACUAUGCCAACAUAAAUAUUUUCACUUCUUGUUUUCUUAUCAAUUCGUACAUAAGCAUAUCUUAAAGUUUAAAUGUUUCUUUCUCUCUUAAAUAUUGCAUUAUUAAUAUUAUAUAAUUGUUCAUAUUACUACCUAUUCUUUAUGAAUAUAAUUUUAAUGGGACAAAUUAACAUUUUGAUGUGUUAAAGGACACUUAAUGAUAUCCCUGGCAUGCAAAUUUUUUCAGGUAUUCUAUCAUUACACUUAUGUUUAUACAUAAAAUUUAAUUUUUUUGAAUUCUUUAAUUCAGAAAUGUUCUUGCAAGUAAGAUCUUUAGGUUAAAUUAUGAAAUUUUUAAUUUAAAUGAAUUGAUAUGCAUUGGAAGUUAAGGUUUAAAAAGUAAUUCUCUUUCAAUUUUUUCCCAUAACUUAGAAAGAUGGCUCAGUGAGAAAAGUAUUUAGUGAAAAUUACAUAAUUUAGCAUGUGACUAAUUGUUUUGCUUUUGCUAUUUAUUUUAUUCCUCACAAUAUAAUUGGCUACAUAUUUUCUGGACAAUGUUAAUGGUUAGUCACCUUUUUUUUGUCUUUUUGACUUUUCUAGGGCUGCUCCCACACCAUAUGAAGGUUCCCAGGCUAGGGGUCGAAUCGGAGCUGUAGCUGUUGGCCUACGCCAGAGCCACAGCAAUGAGGGAUCUGAGCCGCAUCUGCAACCUACACCACAGUUCACGGCAACGCUGGAUGCUUAACCUACUGAGCAAGGUGAGGGACUGAACCCGCAACCUCAUGGUUCCUAGUCGGAUUCGUUAACCACUGAGCCACGACGGGAACUCCAAUGGUUAUUACUAUAGUAAAAAAAUAAAAUAUAGGACCAAAUUUAAAAGUUAAUGCUUCAAUUAUUUCUUUAAAUUCACAUGUUUCUCUGGACUUGGGGAAAACACUUCAAGAAUCACCCCAUAACUUGCAAAGAGAAAAUCACCUUCACCAAGAAAAUGGAUUAAAUUUUAAAAUUGUUUUCAAUACCAAUGUCUACAUCACAUAUUUUUAAAAAUGUUUAUUUGUAGGUUUGAUACAUGCAAUAAGUACAAACAUACAAUUGAAACAAGAAAAAUUUAGAAGAAAAUUUUAGAUGGUGGAAUUUAUGUUAUAAGAAAAUAUAUAUUUAGAGAUUAAUGUUAUAACUGAUUGAGGUAACUGAAACAUUGGAUAAGAUCUUUAAAUCCAGAACAACUGUAAAUUCAUUGAUGAGUUACCAUGAAUAUAAAGACAUUAAAGUGAUCAAAAAAUUGGAAUCUAGGUACUUAGGAAGUAAGCAAGUACCAAUGCCAGCAUUCUCACUGAGUGUUUCUACAAAAUUUAAGAUCUUGAGCCACAGUUAUGACACCAUAUAAAUAAGAGAAUACAGGAACUGCAACAGGAUGCACCCAAGGUGUGGAAACUAACAAGAAAUUUCCAGUAGAGCUGGAACAUAUGGGCUAAAACAAACAAGGGAAGACAAGAAAUGCAACAUACCGUUCCCAACCUUUCUCCAACUGCCUCACCUAAAGAUGCUGACAGACUAUUGAAUAUUGUCAACAUCUGUCUUGACAAUGCAUGAAGCAGAAAAGAAAAACUAUAGGUAUCAUUUUAAACUUUAAUCUAGUGAACUGACAAGUGCUUAAGCACCAAAACAUAAAAACAACUCAUACAACUUAACAACAAAAAACAAGUAACCCAAUCAAAAAAUGGGCAGAAGACCUAAAUAGACAUUUCUCCAAAGAUAUAUGAAUGGCCAGAAGGCACAUGAAAAAAGGCUCAAUAUCACUAAUUAUUAGAAGAAAAUGCAAAUCAAAACUACAAUGAGGUUCCACCUCACAUGAGUCAGAUCAGCCAUCAUUAAUAAGUCAACAAAUAACAAAUGCUUAGAGAGUGUGGAGAAAAAGGGAACUCUACCGCACUGUUGCUGGGAAUGUAAAUUGAUACAACCACUAUGGAAAACAGUAUGGAGGUACCUCAGGAAACUCAAAAUAGAACUACCAUGUGAUCUAACAAUCCCACUCCUGGACGUAUAUCUGGACAAGACAUUCAUUCAAAAAGAUACAUGCACCCCUAUGUUCACUGCAGCAGUAUUCACAACAGGCAAGACAUGAAAAUAACCUGAAUUUUCAUCGACAGAAAAAUAGAGUAGAAAUAUGUGGUACAUAUAUAUAAUGGAAUACUACUUAGCCAUUAAAAAAGAACAAAAUAAUGCCAUUUGCAGCAACUUAGACGCAACUGGAGAUUAUCAUAUGUGAAAUAAGUGAGAAAGGGAAAGACAAAUACCAUAUGAUAUUAUUUAUAUGUGGAAUCUAAAAUUUGGCACAAAUGAACCUGUCUACAAAGCAGAAAUAGACUUACAGACUUGAAGUUGCCAAAAGGGGGUGUGAGGGAGUGGGACAGACUGGAAUUUGGGGGUUAGUAGAUGCAAACUAGUACAUUUAGAAUGGAUAAGCAACAAGGUCCUACUAUAUAGCACAAGGAACUAUAUCCAAUUGUGGGACAGACCGUGAUAGAAGACAAUAUAAAAAAAGUAAUGCAUUAUAUAUUUAUGACUGUAUCACCUGCCAUACAGCAAUAAAUGACACAACAUUGAAAAUCAACUUAUUUUAAUAAAAAAUAAAUAUAUAUAUUAAAAAAUGAAGCUUUAAUCUCAAAAAAAAUCAAAAUUCACUUUAUACAGCAUGUUCCAAAACUAAGUUAUUUGAAGGAACUUAAUAUAAAAGUGUCUCAAGUUGGCAGACAGAAGCAAACACCACUUGAACUCAACCUCAACUCAGGAUAUAAAGAAGCCCCAUAAGUGAGGUGCAAAAGAAAAUUAGUUAUAAUAGGAAACAAAUCAACAGAGAAAGACAAACACAUUCUUUUUUUUUCUUUUUCGGCUGCACCAGUGACAUAUGGAAUUUCCCAUGCCAGGGACGAAUAUUAGCUGUAACUGUGACCUGCACCACAGCUGCAGCAACGCCAGAUCUUUAACCCACUGUACCACAAUGAGAACGCCCAAAAAACAGUUUCAUACACACACACAAGCACACAAAUAGAGAAGACAGCAUGCAUAAAAAUUAACACAGAUUACAGCAGAAAGACACACAAAGAUUUCAGCUACUGCAAUUAUUGGAAACAAAUGUAAUAAAAAUAGAGUUUUUUAAUUAGGGAAAUAAAAGAAAAAUUUGCAAAAAUUAACUAAAUGCAAUUUCUAUAUCUUUCAAUUAUAACUAGAUAUUUUAAUUGAUAGAUGAAAUAGUAGUUUAUAUAUAACUCAUGAAAGAGUAAGUGAACUGGAAAAAUGACCCAAAGAAAUUCUAUUUCUGCCUAUACAUGCCCACAUUACAUUGAAGAAAUAGUGAAAAGUCUUGACGUACAUCUAAUCAGAGUUCUGAAUGGCAAUAAGAAGGUGCUAUUGAAAGAGCUGAAUAUUUUCCAGAAAUUUUGAAAGAUAUUAAUCAUAUCUGGGAGUCAUCCAUUCCCAAUGAGAAUAAUUAAUGAGAAAUCCAUGUCCAGACAUACCACCAUAAAAUAGCAGAAAAGCAGAGGCAAAGAACAUUUAAAAAAGCCAAUAAGAUGGAAUAUAUUUUAGAAAAUGCAUAUAUGUAUGACUGAGUCACUCUGCUCUACAGCAGAAAAAGGCACAACAUUGUAAAUCAACUAUACUUUGAUAAUUUUUUAAAUAGCCAAUAAGAAAACAUAAAGCAGUUUCAAAGAGAAAGUAAUUAAACUGUCCAGUGAACUGUCAAUAGGAACAACAGAAGGUAUAAAAUAUUGAAGAAAUAUCCUUAAUGAGAGGAGAUAAAUAACUGCUAACCAAUAAUCUUUACUUAACGAAAUUAUCUGUGUGAAUGAUUUAAUUAUAAAGAUAUUUUCAGGAAAACUAGAGUUUCAUCACACAAAUAUACUCACUAAAGUAAUCUUUAGGAAGUAUUUUUUUGGACUUCCCCCUUGGCACAACAAGUUAAGAAUCCAACAUUGUGUUCUUGCAGCUGCAAACAGAAUUCUAUCCCUGGCCUGGGAACUUCCAUGUCGCAUAUCCCCUCAAAAAAAUUAUUUUUUAGGAAGAGAAAAAUUGGCCAUAAGUUAAGGUAUUAAAUGCAAGAAGAAAUCUUAAGGUAGACAGCAAAAUGUAUGUAAAUAAAUUAAACAAUAAUUUGUUUUAUGAAGUAAUACUCAUAUUUAGUUUGGAGGGGCAGGUUAGAUCUUAAAUCCUAGACAGCAAUAACAGACAGUGUAGAUGGGGCCAAGAUGAGGGUUAAAGGGCAAAGUUAAAUGUCUCUAAUACCCUUUUAUAAUUUGAGAUGAAGAAAAGGUAUUAGUUACAUUUGGAUGUAAUAAGUAAAUCAAGGCAU